UAAGGUGGCCCACCAUCCUGGUUUGCCUGGGACUGAGGAGUUUCCUAGGACAUGGAACUUUCAGGACUAAAAA
RNAcentral lists this microRNA precursor (73 nucleotides) under Otolemur garnettii (small-eared galago). RNAcentral's name for it is "miRNA (ENSOGAG00000020909.1)". The record is from RNAcentral. Lineage: Eukaryota; Metazoa; Chordata; Mammalia; Primates; Galagidae.